AUUCCAGCUCCAAUAGCGUAUAUUAAUGUUGUUGCAGUUAAAAAGCUCGUAGUCGGAUUUUUGUGUCAUGUCGAACUGUCUGCCGAUUGGUUUGUACGGUUUGACGGGCAUAUUCCUUCCAGAGGCUCCGUGAGGCCUUCAUUGGUUUCGCGGUUGAAUCUGGGUCUUUUACUUUGAAAAAAUUAGAGUGUUCAAAGCAGGCCUAUGCUCGAAUAGGUUAGCAUGGAAUAAUAGAAUAGGACUUCGGUCUUAUUUUGUUGGUUUCUAGGACCGAAGUAAUGAUUAACAGGGACAGUUGGGGGCAUUCAUAUUCCAUUGUCAGAGGUGAAAUUCUUGGAUUAACGGAAGAUGAACUUCUGCGAAAGCAUCUGCCAAGGAUGUUUUCAUUG
This 389-nucleotide ribosomal RNA is filed under the name Picozoa sp. Its description in RNAcentral is "partial small subunit ribosomal RNA". It matches the Rfam family "Eukaryotic small subunit ribosomal RNA", at positions 582 to 975 of the family's 1831-position model. The record is from RNAcentral. Lineage: Eukaryota; Picozoa.